This 111-nucleotide ribosomal RNA is filed under the name Cyclobacteriaceae bacterium. Lineage: Bacteria; Pseudomonadati; Bacteroidota; Cytophagia; Cytophagales; Cyclobacteriaceae. The record is from RNAcentral.
UAAGGUGACGAUAGCGUUGGGGUCCCACCUCUUCCCAUUCCGAACAGAGAAGUUAAGCCUAACUGCGCCGAUGGUACUGCGUUACAGCGGGAGAGUAGGUCGUCGCCAAAU